This 631-nucleotide ribosomal RNA is filed under the name Malassezia globosa. Its description in RNAcentral is "eukaryotic LSU rRNA". It matches the Rfam family "Eukaryotic large subunit ribosomal RNA", at positions 52 to 667 of the family's 3401-position model. The record is from RNAcentral. Lineage: Eukaryota; Fungi; Basidiomycota; Malasseziomycetes; Malasseziales; Malasseziaceae.
GGAGGAAAAGAAACUAACAAGGAUUCCCCCUAGUAACGGCGAGCGAAGCGGGAAGAGCUCAAAUUUGAAAGCUGGCACCUCCGGUGUCCGCGUUGUAAUCUCGAGACGUGUUUUCCGUGCGGCUCUAUGGACAAGUCCCUUGGAAUAGGGCAUCGUAGAGGGUGAGAAUCCCGUACUUGCCAUGGAAGAACCGUGCUUUGCGAUACACGCUCUAAGAGUCGAGUUGUUUGGGAUUGCAGCUCAAAAUGGGUGGUAGACUCCAUCUAAAGCUAAAUAUCGGGGAGAGACCGAUAGCGAACAAGUACCGUGAGGGAAAGAUGAAAAGCACUUUGGAAAGAGAGUUAAAAGUACGUGAAAUUGUCGAAAGGGAAGCACUUGAAGUCAGCCAUGCUGCUUGAGACUCAGCCUGGCCUUUGGGCUUGGUGUAUUUCUCGGUGGCAAGCCAGCAUUGGUUUGGGUCGUCGGAGAAGCGCAUAGGGAAUGUAGCGUUUCCGGACGUGUUAUAGCCUUAUGCAGGAUACGACGACCUGGAUCAAGGAACGCAGUGUGCCCUCUGGGCGGGUCUUCGGACACCUUCACACUUAGGAUGCUGGCGUAAUGGCUUUAAGUGGCCCGUCUUGAAACACGGACC